GAGUUUGAUCGUGGCUCAGAACGAACGCUGGCGGCAUGCCUAACACAUGCAAGUCGAACGAACUCUUCGGAGUUAGUGGCGCACGGGUGCGUAACGCGUGGGAAUCUGCCCUUGGGUACGGAAUAACUCAGAGAAAUUUGUGCUAAUACCGUAUAAUGACUUCGGUCCAGAGAUUUAUCGCCCAAGGAUGAGCCCGCGUAAGAUUAGCUAGUUGGUGGGUAAAGGCCGUACCAAGGCUACGAUCUUUAGCUGGUCUGAGAGGAUGAUCAGCCACACUGGGACUGAGACACGGCCCAGACUCCUACGGGAGGCAGCAGUGGGGAAUAUUGGACAAUGGGCGAAAGCCUGAUCCAGCAAUGCCGCGUGAGUGAUGAAGGCCUUAGGGUUGUAAAGCUCUUUCCG
This 402-nucleotide ribosomal RNA is filed under the name uncultured microorganism. RNAcentral's name for it is "bacterial SSU rRNA". It matches the Rfam family "Bacterial small subunit ribosomal RNA", at positions 9 to 439 of the family's 1533-position model. The record is from RNAcentral.